AUUGAACGCUGGCGGCAGGCCUAACACAUGCAAGUCGAGCGGAUGAAGGGAGCUUGCUCCUGGAUUCAGCGGCGGACGGGUGAGUAAUGCCUAGGAAUCUGCCUGGUAGUGGGGGAUAACGUCCGGAAACGGGCGCUAAUACCGCAUACGUCCUGAGGGAGAAAGUGGGGGAUCUUCGGACCUCACGCUAUCAGAUGAGCCUAGGUCGGAUUGGCUAGUUGGUGGGGUAAAGGCCUACCAAGGCGACGAUCCGUAACUGGUCUGAGAGGAUGAUCAGUCACACUGGAACUGAGACACGGUCCAGACUCCUACGGGAGGCAGCAGUGGGGAAUAUUGGACAAUGGGCGAAAGCCUGAUCCAGCCAUGCCGCGUGUGUGAAGAAGGUCUUCGGAUUGUAAAGCACUUUAAGUUGGGAGGAAGGGCAGUAAGUUAAUACCUUGCUGCUUUGACGUUACCAACAGAAUAAGCACCGGCUAACUUCGUG
This 484-nucleotide ribosomal RNA is filed under the name uncultured bacterium. RNAcentral describes it as "partial 16S ribosomal RNA". It matches the Rfam family "Bacterial small subunit ribosomal RNA", at positions 30 to 507 of the family's 1533-position model. The record is from RNAcentral.